This 554-nucleotide ribosomal RNA is filed under the name Lipomyces tetrasporus. RNAcentral's name for it is "partial 26S ribosomal RNA". It matches the Rfam family "Eukaryotic large subunit ribosomal RNA", at positions 72 to 645 of the family's 3401-position model. Lineage: Eukaryota; Fungi; Ascomycota; Lipomycetes; Lipomycetales; Lipomycetaceae. The record is from RNAcentral.
GGAUUGCCUUAGUAACUGCGAGUGAAGCGGCAAGAGCUCAAAUUUGAAAUCUGGCACCUUCGGUGUCCGAGUUGUAAUUUGUAGAAGCAUCUUUUGGAUUGGUCCUUGCAUAUGUUCCUUGGAACAGGACAUCAUAGAGGGUGAGAAUCCCGUUCAUGGUGGGGAAUCCAAUUCUUUGUAAAGUGCUUUCGAAGAGUCGAGUUGUUUGGGAAUGCAGCUCUAAGUGGGUGGUAAAUUCCAUCUAAAGCUAAAUAUUGGCGAGAGACCGAUAGCGAACAAGUACAGUGAUGGAAAGAUGAAAAGAACUCCGAAAGGAGAGUGAAAAAGGACGUGAAAUUGUUGAAAGGGAAGUGCUUGAGAUCAGUCUUAAGGUUUAGUGAUCAGUCUUCCUUUUGGUUGGUGCACUCACUAUUUCUUAGGCCAACAUCAGUUUUCGCGGCAGGAUAAUGACAUUGGAAUGUGGCUCUUUCGGGAGUGUUAUAGCCUUUGUUGAUACUGCCUGCUUAGACUGAGGACCGCGCUUUUGCUAGGAUGUUGGCAUAAUGAUCUUAAGC